ACUCAACGUUAAUUCUUUAAAAAGGGUGAGUUUAAAUUGUAAAAGCAUGCUGCUAAUACGUUAAGUAUUUGGGCAGAUCCUUGAUCAAUUUGUUAGCCCUAAACUUGUUUUUAAGGAGUUU
RNAcentral lists this small RNA (121 nucleotides) under Mesoflavibacter sp. HG96. Its description in RNAcentral is "6S-Flavo RNA". It matches the Rfam family "6S-Flavo RNA". Lineage: Bacteria; Pseudomonadati; Bacteroidota; Flavobacteriia; Flavobacteriales; Flavobacteriaceae. RNAcentral also lists the same sequence under 1 other name. The record is from Rfam by way of RNAcentral.